AGAGAAAGUCUCGAUAUAGGUUCAUCGUUUUGCCCGAAUUAGGGCAAGGGGAUUUCAUCAAAUGAAAUCCUAGUUUCCAAAUCAUUUUUCUCUAAAAGUUUUCUCGUCUCCACUCUUCUCUCCUUGGUUCCUAGAAAAUAAUAAGAUUCACUUACGGUGGUGUCUAUUGUUCAUUGUAGAAUCGUUCUAGAGAAGAUGACGAGGAAAUCGUGAAGAGUACAAGAAUCGAUAAAGAUUCACCAUUCAUUAUGUUCAUGAUUAACCAAGAUGUUGGGUCAAGAGUAGUGUGGAUGUACUGUUUAUGCUCCUAAACUGUUUGAUGAAAUGCCUCACAAAGCCCUGGAGUUACAACUCAAGAAUAGACAGUUGGCAAGGAUUUCAAUGAUGAAGAAGAAACGUUCAUUCUUUGGAUGCUUCAGACUUUGUACACAGUGAAAUCUAAGUGUUUCAGGUGAUUAGGAACAAUAGUGUGGUCACAAUUGAAGCACUUGAACAUAUUGUAGUGGUCACCACCACUACAUGUUGUAGUGGUGGUAGAUUUGUUGGUAUUUGGUAUAAGUCUUGCCGAUUUAUUUCAUAGAUGAAGUUUACACUUUCAUAAUUGUGGCAUUGGAGGUAGGGAAGACAUAUAUUUUGUAUAAAUGUUUUGUUCUUUAGAAUAAAUUGACAUAGUUCAUCA
Benincasa hispida (wax gourd) is the source of this 679-nucleotide long non-coding RNA. RefSeq lists it as uncharacterized. NCBI's taxonomy places the organism in Eukaryota, Viridiplantae, Streptophyta, Magnoliopsida, Cucurbitales, Cucurbitaceae. The record is from RefSeq and is a predicted model, not a curated record.